AGGAGAAGGAAGAAAAGGAGAAGACUGAGGGAGAAAAAGAGAAGGAAAAGCAGAAGAGGAGGAAGAAGGAAGAAGAAAAGGUAGGGGAAUUAUGGAGUUUUCUGCAGGGCCAUUUGCAUCCUGGCUGUAAAGGGAAGCCACGUCUGACCCAUGGCAACCCCAUGCCCCUGGUAGAAGGAGCUAUGCCAUCCACAGCCUAGAAAUCACACUGUGUCCAUGGCCUUUCCACUUAGAGACAGCUGUCUCUUUGCUCCCAGCACUCCUAGUUAGCUCUUCCUCCUUUUUCGCUCCAAAUGGGAUGCUGGUGUGGACAGUGAUGCUGCCUGCACUGCACACACGGUGAAAUCCUUGCUCUUGGCUCCUGGAGGGCUCUGUGGGGCCAUGGGCACACGAGGUUCCACAGCAGCACCAGUGGUGCCAAGCAUGGCUCUAGAAACCCACAGGACAAGGAGUCACUCUGACUUGAAGCUCUAGCCCAAACAGCAAAGAGUGCCAGGGUUCUCAGUGAUGCUUGUCCCUCUCUCUUCACCCCAGCAGGGAGAUGGGGAAGAGGAAAGGAGCAGCAGCAGCUCUGACAGUGACUUGGAGGAGGACCAAGGCAUUGCCAAGGAUGAUGAGAAGGAAGACAAGGAUUAGUCUUUCCGUGCUGGAGAGGCAGCACAUGCCCUGGGCACACCGAGGAGGUGGAGAUGUAAACAGCAGCUUGUGCUGGAGGGCAACUGGGCCACUCUUAGCCAAAUAAAGAUGUUGUGGUCUC
Long non-coding RNA from Corvus hawaiiensis (hawaiian crow), 757 nucleotides. RefSeq lists it as uncharacterized. The transcript is spliced from 2 exons. The record is from RefSeq and is a predicted model, not a curated record. NCBI's taxonomy places the organism in Eukaryota, Metazoa, Chordata, Aves, Passeriformes, Corvidae.